GAAACUACAAAUGAAGUUGACCGGGGGCCCGCACAAGCGGAGGAGCAUGUGGUUUAAUCGAUGAUACGCGAGGAACCUUACCUGGGCUCGAACGUAAGAUGACUGUAGGUGAAAGCUUACAUCUCUUCGGAGCAUUUUACGAGGUGCUGCAUGGUUGUCGUCAGCUCGUGCCGUGAGGUGUCGGGUUAAGUCCCAUAACGAGCGCAACCCCUACCUUUAGUUGCCAUCAGGUAAUGCUGGGGACUCUAAAGGAACUGCCUACGCAAGUAGUGAGGAAGGCGGGGAUGACGUCAAAUCAGCACGGCCUUACGUCCAGGGCUACACACGUGCUACAAUGGCCGAUACAGAGGGCAGCUACCUGGUGACAGGAUGCAAAUCUCCAAAGUCGGUCUCAGUUCGGAUCGGAGUCUGCAACCCGACUCCGUGAAGUUGGAUUCGCUAGUAAUCGCGCAUCAGCCAUGGCGCGGUGAAUACGUUCCCGGGCCUU
RNAcentral lists this ribosomal RNA (487 nucleotides) under uncultured Sphingobacteriales bacterium. RNAcentral's name for it is "bacterial SSU rRNA". It matches the Rfam family "Bacterial small subunit ribosomal RNA", at positions 896 to 1382 of the family's 1533-position model. Lineage: Bacteria; Pseudomonadati; Bacteroidota; Sphingobacteriia; Sphingobacteriales. The record is from RNAcentral.